Molecule: non-coding RNA, 85 nt
Organism: Paramuricea clavata
Lineage: Eukaryota; Metazoa; Cnidaria; Anthozoa; Malacalcyonacea; Plexauridae
Source: the annotation of a GenBank genome assembly
ACCACUGACUACUAGCUCAAUGGUUAGAAAUUAGAAUGUCUGUCCAGAAUUCAGAAGGUCGUGGGUUCGAUUCCCGUCAGGGGUU